AGGUGAUUCACCCGUCUUGGCCUCCCAAAGUGCUGGGAUUACAGGCGUGAGCCACCGCACCCAGCCAAUUGAAGUUUUCCACAUGUACUCAUUCAAUUAGUCCCACUCAAAGAAUCUACGUUAAAACUGCCAUUAAAGAUAAGAGAAACAAAAUGUAGGUCACUCAGUUCAAAACAUGUUUAUUAAAAAUUGGGAUAUAUAUUCCCCCUAGGAAAGAAGGUAUAAUUGGAAGUUUACAAACAAAUGACUUUGCCAGUUACAGUAGGUAAGAGUAUUCUAGGCAGAGGAAUAAAUCUGUUAGGAAAAAGCCAUUAAUUUCUGUGGAAUCCUAAUCACCCUCUUAAAACAUACACUAAUACAACCACAAUUACAUUGGUAGUUGUCUUCGGCUUGUCACCCAUAGAAACUUCUAGAAUUACUCCAUCCUCAAAGACAGCAACAAUUCCCUCAUUAUGUAGUUACAAAAUUUAUUUUUUCCUCACUCUAAGCUUUCCAAGUUUAUGAAAAUUCUCAAUACUAUCUGCUCUAUUUUCCUGUAAGUCUGAAAUUGUUCUUAAAAAACAAAGAAUUUCACCAUUUAGAAAGCAUAAAUUUACAAAAAAAAAAAAAGGGAGUAGAGUAUGGCACAUGUCUUACAGAACUGAGUCUUAGCACUUAGAAGAAUAUAAAUCCUAGUAAUUUACAUAUUUAUUAUCUAGGGGCUUAUUCUGAAGCUUGUAUAUUCAGGUACAUAUUUAUAACUCCAUUUUGAAGUAUAAAGAAAAUAGUAAUAAUUAAGAACUAGAGUAUCUUCCAAUUCCAGUUUUUCUACUUAUUCUAGCUGCAUAAUCAUGACUAAGUUACUUAACCUCUUAGGCUACUGGUUAUACAUCUAUAAAAAGAAGGUAAUACUACAACCUACCACAUAGGUGAUGAAUUAAUUUCUGAAUAUUGAAGGAAAAAAAAAGCUUCAAGUUCCUAGACCAAAAAAUAACUGCCUACAUAGCAGAAAGAAGACUGGUACCAAAUUCUCUAUCUUCAACACUAGAAACCUGUAUUAUUUUUUAUUGUUGUGGAGUUUUAGAAUAUUUUUAAUGUGCAAAUGGUUGAAUCCUUGGAUGUGGAAUCUGUGCAUAAGGUGAACCAACUAUCAAGAAAACCAAUGGCAGAAUGAAAAUAUAACAGAAUACCACUGUAUUUUUUUCCCCAGAAAGAAAAGAAAAAUGAAGAUAAUCUAAUAAAAUUCAGGAAAAGUACAAUAUUUUAAAACUAAAUCAACAAAUAUAAGACAUAGAAUAAGCAUAUAAACAUUAUCACAAUAAAUUUUAUGAAUGGGUUGAAUUUUUUAGUUAAAAGACCUUCAGACAAAGAUAAAAACUAAAGUCUAACUACAGUAUUUAUGGUUUACAUAAUGUACCAUUUUUAUAAAAUACCAUAGUCAUAGAAUCCAGAUAGGCCAAUACGAUACCUAUUUGUUUACUCUGUAACUCCAAAUUUUAUACUUUCAGCCCUUUUCUCUGAAAUGCAUGUCUGUCUUUCAUAGCUUAACCUCAAUAAACCCAAAUAUCAAGUAAUAUUUUCCCACCCAAACAAGAUCUCAUUUAGUGUUUCCUAUGUCAUUGAAGGGUACCAAUAUUCUUACAGCUGUGUAAACCAGAAAUGCAGGACUCAUCCUUGACACCUCCUUUGUUUGCCUUGCUUCCCAUUAUUCAAGUCAUUACUAGGUCCUGCUGAUUUAAUCAAAUUUUUUUCUUUUUAAAUCCAUACAUUUCUCCCUAUCAAUAUGUCACCAUUCUGCAAAGCAAAUAUCAUUCUCACUACCGCAGCCUCCGAACUCAUCUCUCUACAUCCACUCCUGCCUUCUGUGCUUGACCAAAACCCAAGAUAGCCCACAAGAUUCCCUGGGGGUACAAGUUCUAUAUAAUUCCCUCCUCAUAAGUGUAGGCAGAACUGUAAAUACGAUGGAUUUCACUCCCAUAUGAAACUGAUGUCACAUGAUAAAAAUGAAAGGAUUUUAAAGAUAUAAAAACCCAAACCAGUUUAUUUUUUAAUCAAAGGGAGAUCACCCCAGACUUAUGACCCAUGGAAACUGCCAAGAUAUUAAGUCUGUAUUAUAUUAAGUUGCUAAGUUGCUUACAUAGCUGUAAAAAACUAAUACAUUCCUCCAAAUGGUUCUAAACACAUCUGCCAGAGUGCUCCUUUUAAAACAAAAAAACAAAUUAAGAUUUUUUUUUCUUAAAACACUUUAAGAGCUUUGCAUUACCCUUCAGAUAAAAUACUAAAACUGUUUAGUACUGUUCCCCAUAGUACCCCUAAUGCUUUGCACAUUUCUCGGCACAAAAAUAGAGUUUUUAUAUAUUUAUUAAAGAAAUAACAGCCGGGCGUGGUGGCUCACGCCUGUAAUCCCAAAACUUUGGAAGGCCAAGGCAGGUGAUCACAAGGGCAGGAGUUCGAGAUCAGCCUGACCAACAUGGUGAAACCCCAUCUCUACUAAAAAUACCAAAAAUUAGCUGGGCAUGGUGGCGGGCGCCUGUAAUCCCAGCUACUCGGGAGGCUGAAGCAGGAGAAUCACUUGAACCCAAGAGGCAGAGGUUGCAGUGAGCGAGAUCACACCACUGCACUCCAGCCCAGGUAAGAGUGCGAGACUCGUCUCAAAAAAAAUAAAUGAAUACACCAAACAAAAAUAAACAAAAAAAAAGUAGGGAAUACAAAAUAAUCUCAGAAGGUUACAUUCAAAGUUAAAAAUGAAAAUAAAUACUAAAAAAAAUUUGUAAUGAAAAAGGUGGUGUGGUCAUUAGAGAAACGCAAAUCAAAACCACAAUGAGAUACCAUCUCACGUGAGUCACAAUGGCUAUUGUUAAAAAGUCAGAAAAACGACAGAUGCUGGUGAGGUUGUGGAUAAAAAGAAACAUUUAUACACUGUUGGAGGGAGUGUAAAUUAUUUCAACCAUUGGGGAAGACAGUGUGGCAAUUCCUCAAGGACCUAAAAGUAAAACUACUAUUCAACCCAGUAAUCCAAUUACUGGGCAUAUAUCCAAAGGAAUAGAAAUCAUUCUAUCAUAAAGACACAUCCACGUAUAUGCUCACUGCAGCACUAUUCACAAUAGCAAAGACAUGGAAUCAACCUAAAUGCUCAUCAAUGACACACUGGAUAAAUAAAUGUGGUACUUAUACACCGUGGAAUACAAUGCAGCAUAAAUAAGAAGAAAACCACGUCCUUUGCAGGAAUUUGGAUGAAGCUGGAGACCAUUAUCCAUUGCAAACUAACGCAGGAACAGAAAACCAAACACAGCAUGUUCUCACUUCUAAGUGGAAACUAAAUGAUGAGAACACACGGAGACAUAAAGGGGGUGACAGAGAAUGGGAGGAGGGAGAGGAUCAGGAAAAGUAACUAACGGGUAGUAGGCUUAAUACCUGGGUGACGAAAUAAUCUCUACAACAAACCCCCAUGACACAAGUUUACCUAUAUAACAAACCUGCACUAUACCCCGGAACUUAAAAGUUAAAUUUUUUAAAAGAAGAAAAAGGUAGUGAAAGAAAAUGUAAAAAGCAAUGAAUCUUUAUUUUAUAUAAAAGAAAUAUAAAACUCUUAAAGAUUUGGCUUUCUUUUUUUUUUUUGUCUUUUUUUUUCUUUUUAUUAUUAUUAUUACACUUUUAAGUAUUAGGGUACAUGUGCACAAUGUGCAGGUUAGUUACAUAUGUAUACAUGUGCCAUGCUGGCGUGUUGCACCCAUUAACUCGUCAUUUAGCAUUAGGGAUAUCUCCUAAUGCUAUCCCUCCCCGCUUCCCCCACCGCACAACAGUCCCCAGAGUGUGAUGUUCCCCUUCCUGUGUCCAUGUGUUCUCAUUGUUCAAUUCCCAUCUAUGAGUGAGAACGUGCGGUGUUCGGUUUUUUGUCCUUGCGAUAGUUUACUGAGAAUGAUGAUUUCCAAUUUCACCCAUGUCCCUACAAAGGACAUGAACUCAUCAUUUUUUAUGGCUGCAUAGUAUUCCAUGGUGUGUAUGUGCCACAUUUUCUUAAUCCAGUCUAUCAAUGUCCAACAAAGAUUUGGCUUUCUUUUCAUUUAGAAAGAAGCUCUCACAGUGGAAGACUAUAAUAUGACAUAAGAAGAAAUGUGGACUUGGAGAUACAGAAGAGACAGGGUCUCGCUCUGUUACCCAGGCUGGAGUGUAGUGGCACGAUCUAAGGUCACUGCAACCUCCGCCUCUGGGGUUCAAGCCUCCCACCUCAGCCUACCAAGCAACUGGGACUACAGACAGGGUCUCAUUCCUGUUGCUCAGGCUGGAGUACAGUGGCAUGAUCUUGGCUCACUGCAGCUUCGACCUCCCGGGCUCAGGUGAUUCUCCCACCUCAGCCUCCCAAGCAACUGGAACUACCCAGCUAGUCCUACCAUGACCGGUUAGUUUUUUGUAUUUUUAAUAGAGACAUGGUUUCACCACAUUGCCCAGGCUAGUCCUGAACUCCCGGACUCAAGCAGUCCACCCACCUAGGCCUCCUAAAGUGCUAGAAUUACAGGCGUGAGCCACUGUGCCCAGCCUGUUACAUCUACAUUAGAUAUAUACAUAUAUAAUUAUUUAUAUAUUUUAUAUAUGUAAUUAUUUCCUAAUGAAAUAACAGACAACAUGGUAAUCAAACAAGGAAAGAAAGAAGUAUAUGUGAAAGUAUAAAAACCCUCAGAAAACACAUCAGAUGAGUCAGUAAAACUAGUUGUGAAUAGUCACACAUGCCUGUAAUCCCAGCUACUUGGAAGGCUGAGGUAGGAGGAUUGCUUGAGCUCAGGAGUUUGAGACCAGCCUGGGCAACACGCAUGACACCAUCUCAAGAAAAAAAAAAUUGUUGUGGAAUACCAGAUUAAUAAAUACUACUUUUUAAGCAUAAUCCUUGCAUUUCAGUUCCUAAAAUAGUCAAACAGUGGUAGACAUACUCUAAAUCUUCAAAACAAUAAGUGAGUCAUAAAUCUCUUUACUGUAAGUUCUCACAGUCCCUUGCACUUUCAAAAACCUCCUCACAUUUGCAUUUACAUUUUUAAUGCCUAUCUUCCUAGGGAAUAUUCUCUCAAGUACUUGGUGAAGUAUAUGAACUGUUAAUUGUCUUAUUAACUGCAGAUCCCCAGUGCGAAGUCAGUGCCAAAAACAAGUCAUUAUUUAGGUAAAUACAUAGUCAUUGAAUUAUUGAAUAAUAUAUAAAUAUUGAAUUGAAUGAAACAUUCCUUUUUCAGAAAUAAAGUGCUCAUUUGUUUUAUAAAAAGUAUUUAUCAAGUAUUUACCAUGUACAAGAAAAUCUGUUUUAGGCACUGUAAGCAUUAGUUAAUGAAUAUCUAAAGUUUAAAAUAAAGUUUUGAAAUGCUGUUACCAAUAUUUUUAUUCUCUACAUGGAAAGCUACACAUGCAUAGUUUAAAAAUUUAAAUUCACCACAAGUAAAGUUCUUUCUGAGAACCCAUGCAUUUAAUUUUAUUACUAUAAAAUUGCUUUCGAUAAGCAAUUUUAAGACAUUCUACUGACAUGCCAAUGUCCUACUCAUUAAAAUAAUUUUUUUUUGAGAUGGAGUGUCGCACUUGUUGCCCAGCUGCUGUGCAAUGACGCGAUGUCUGCUCAGUGCAACCUCUGCCUCCCGGGUUCAAGCAAUUCCCCUGCCUCAGCUUCUCAAGCAGCUGGGAUUACA
This is a long non-coding RNA of Homo sapiens (human), 5642 nucleotides long. RefSeq annotates it as MYO9A antisense RNA 1. Lineage: Eukaryota; Metazoa; Chordata; Mammalia; Primates; Hominidae. The record is from RefSeq and is a predicted model, not a curated record. The transcript has 3 exons.